Molecule: long non-coding RNA, 314 nt
Organism: Erpetoichthys calabaricus (reedfish)
Lineage: Eukaryota; Metazoa; Chordata; Cladistia; Polypteriformes; Polypteridae
Exons: 2
Source: RefSeq, a predicted model, not a curated record
AGUGGUGGCAGGGGAAAGUGUAGUUAAGCAGCAUAGGAUGGUGUUCUGUAGGAUGACGUUGGAGAUCAAGAAGAGGAAGAGAGUGAGGGCAGAGAUCAAAUGGUGGAAGUUGAAAAAGGAAGAAUGCAAGGUUGAGUUUAGGGAGGAGGUGAGACAGGCACUGGGUGGCAGUGAAGAGUUACCAGACAGCUGGGAAACUACAGCAGAUGUACUAAGGGUGACAGCAAGAAGGGUGCUUGGUGUGACAUCUGGAAAGAGGAAGGAGGAAAAGGAAACCUGGUGGUGGAAUGAGGAAAUACAGGAGAGUAUACAGA